CCCUUAGAUGUUCUGGGCCGCACGCGCGCUACACUGACGAUGGCAACGAGUUUUUCCUUCGCCGAAAGGUGUGGGUAAUCUUUUGAAACAUCGUCGUGCUGGGGAUAGAUCAUUGCAAUUUUUGAUCUUGAACGAGGAAUUCCUAGUAAGCGCGAGUCAUCAGCCCGCGUUGAUUACGUCCCUGCCCUUUGUACACACCGCCCGUCGCUACUACCGAUUGAAUGAUUUAGUGAGGACUCCUGAUUGGCGCCGCCGCCCCGGCAACGGAGCAGCGGACUGCCGAAAAGUUGUUCAAACUUGAUCAUUUAGAGGAAGUAAAAGUCGUAACA
This 329-nucleotide ribosomal RNA is filed under the name uncultured eukaryote. RNAcentral describes it as "partial 18S ribosomal RNA". It matches the Rfam family "Eukaryotic small subunit ribosomal RNA", at positions 1470 to 1796 of the family's 1831-position model. The record is from RNAcentral.